AACGAACGCUGGCGGCAGGCCUAACACAUGCAAGUCGAACGCCCCGCAAGGGGAGUGGCAGACGGGUGAGUAACACGUGGGAACCUUCCCUAUACUACGGAAUAGCCCAGGGAAACUUGGAGUAAUACCGUAUACGCCCGAGAGGGGAAAGAUUUAUCGGUAUAGGAUGGGCCCGCGUAGGAUUAGCUAGUUGGUGAGGUAAUGGCUCACCAAGGCGACGAUCCUUAGCUGGUCUGAGAGGACGACCAGCCACACUGGGACUGAGACACGGCCCAGACUCCUACGGGAGGCAGCAGUGGGGAAGAUUGGACAAUGGGCGCAAGCCUGACCCAGCCAUGCCGCGUGAGUGAUGAAGGCCUUAGGGUUGUAAAGCUCUUUUGCCGGGGACGAUAAUGACGGUACCCGGAGAAUAAGUCCCGGCUAACUUCGUGCCAGCCGCCGCGGUAA
RNAcentral lists this ribosomal RNA (447 nucleotides) under uncultured bacterium. RNAcentral describes it as "partial 16S ribosomal RNA". It matches the Rfam family "Bacterial small subunit ribosomal RNA", at positions 29 to 523 of the family's 1533-position model. The record is from RNAcentral.